Molecule: ribosomal RNA, 475 nt
Filed under: uncultured bacterium
Lineage: Bacteria
Description: bacterial SSU rRNA
Rfam family: Bacterial small subunit ribosomal RNA
Source: RNAcentral
ACUCCUACGGGAGGCAGCAGUGGGGAAUAUUGCACAAUGGGCGCAAGCCUGAUGCAGCCAUGCCGCGUGUAUGAAGAAGGCCUUCGGGUUGUAAAGUACUUUCAGCAGUGAGGAAGGUGGGUAUGUUAAUAGCAUACUCAUUUGACGUUAGCUGCAGAAGAAGCACCGGCUAACUCCGUGCCAGCAGCCGCGGUAAUACGGAGGGUGCGAGCGUUAAUCGGAAUUACUGGGCGUAAAGCGCAUGCAGGUGGUUUGUUAAGUCAGAUGUGAAAGCCCGGGGCUCAACCGUCGGAAUUGCAUUUGAAACUGGCAAACUAGAGUACUGUAGAGGGGGGUAGAAUUUCGAGGUGUAGCGGUGAAAUGCGUAGAGAUCUGAAGGAAUACCGGUAGGCGAAGGCGGCCCCCUGGACAGAUACUGACACUCAGAUGCGAAAGCGUGGGGAAGCGAAACAGGAUUAGAUACCCUGGAGGCGUA